Molecule: small nucleolar RNA, 128 nt
Filed under: Chinchilla lanigera (long-tailed chinchilla)
Lineage: Eukaryota; Metazoa; Chordata; Mammalia; Rodentia; Chinchillidae
Source: RNAcentral
CCUUGUAAUCUUCGCAGAUCAAAAUCAUGAUGUUGCUGCAGUCAGAGAAAACCCAGAGUAACAAGUUUCCCUGACAGUUGCUGUUGUGUUUGUUGUAUUUAUCUGCAACAUUUUGGGGAAAGACAGUU